This 173-nucleotide ribosomal RNA is filed under the name uncultured bacterium. RNAcentral's name for it is "partial 16S ribosomal RNA". It matches the Rfam family "Bacterial small subunit ribosomal RNA", at positions 334 to 524 of the family's 1533-position model. The record is from RNAcentral.
UACUCCUACGGGAGGCAGCAGUGGGGAAUCUUGGACAAUGGGCGCAAGCCUGAUCCAGCCAUGCCGCGUGAGUGAUGAAGGCCCUAGGGUUGUAAAACUCUUUCGUGGGGGACGAUAAUGACGGUACCCCAAGAAGAAGCUCCGGCUAACUUCGUGCCAGCAGCCGCGGUAAU